Long non-coding RNA from Bos taurus (domestic cattle), 1040 nucleotides. The record is from Ensembl. NCBI's taxonomy places the organism in Eukaryota, Metazoa, Chordata, Mammalia, Artiodactyla, Bovidae.
GCAUUGAAGAGCCUCCACCAGAUUCUACAGCUUGGAGAGAGAAGUGGGCCAGUUCUCCCGAUCCAGACCCCAGGCUCUUUUUCCUGACAUCAGACUUAUUACAUAGGGUGACACCCAAGCCUUCCUGUCUUCCCACUCCCUAUGAAUCAUUGCUGGUUGCUGCCAAGAACCAGGUUUCACAGCUGCUGUGCUUGCAGCCCUGGCACUGGCUUCUGAGGACAGCUGCUGCUGCUGCUGCUGCUGCAGGGCGCACCCUGCCCCCAGGACAGCUGGUCUGUGUGCCGGGAAAGCACGGAGUGGUGCUGAGGUACAGGUGCCGACAAACCAGCAGCAAGCAAGACAGAUGCAAUCCCCGGCACCAGCGACGGAGAUAGGCAUUGACCAGACACUUAAGUGUGUUGAGAAGAAGACUCCAUAUGAAUAAACUAUCAGAGUGGUCUGACACUCGCUGGAUGCCAGGAAGAGAAAAUGAAUGUAUACAUUGGCUCGCUGCUCGAAGGGGAAACUGAGGCCCAGGUGGGGGAACCCAGUGAGCUGGUUGCUCAUACAGAAUGCAGACUAUCAAGUGCCCAAGGCUUGCCCUCCCGUAGCUUCAUGGAUACGGGGAGGCGGGCGAGUCCCUGCCCUUUCCUACUCUGCAUGAACCUUUCUCAGCUCACUGGCUGGGCUGCCCUACUAAUUGGAUGGAGCAACUGGGCCAGACUGGGGAAGUGGGCGGUGAGGAGCAGAACGCAGCCUGCCUCUUCCGGGCGCCCAGGCCAGUCCUACAGCGACUUUGCUGAGCUGGCGGCCCACGCCCGGGUGCACAAUGAUGCUGACACAGACACACCCGGGAGCCUGAGGGUAUGUGUGUGUGUGUGUUGGGGGAGGGGGAACCUAGGCGCGUCCACCCCACCCACUGCCUCUGCUAUGGAGUCAUUAUCCCUCGGGGUAGAGGGAAACACCGAGAGGCCGAGUUGCCAAUGGCCACUCCAGGUGUCCAAGCCCCUCCCACCAGACCCAGGAGCUCCCCAGGAGGGCUCGUUUGCUCUCACGGGCUG